ACAGCUGUCGAAAGAUGGUUUCUUCGGACACUGUUCAAGGUGCUGCAUGGUUGUCGUCAGCUCGUGCCGUGAGGUGUCGGGUUAAGUCCCAUAACGAGCGCAACCCUUACCGUUAGUUACCAUCAGGUUAAGCUGGGGACUCUAGCGGGACUGCCACCGUAAGGUGAGAGGAAGGUGGGGAUGACGUCAAAUCAGCACGGCCCUUAUGUCCAGGGCUACACACGUGUUACAAUGGCCAGUACAAAGGGCAGCUACCGGGUGACCGGAUGCUAAUCUCUAAAGCUGGUCUCAGUUCGGAUCGAAGUCUGCAACCCGACUUCGUGAAGCUGGAUUCGCUAGUAAUCGCGCAUCAGCCAUGGCGCGGUGAAUACGUUCCCGGGCCUU
This 384-nucleotide ribosomal RNA is filed under the name uncultured Sphingobacteriales bacterium. RNAcentral's name for it is "bacterial SSU rRNA". It matches the Rfam family "Bacterial small subunit ribosomal RNA", at positions 994 to 1382 of the family's 1533-position model. The record is from RNAcentral. Lineage: Bacteria; Pseudomonadati; Bacteroidota; Sphingobacteriia; Sphingobacteriales.